This 777-nucleotide ribosomal RNA is filed under the name uncultured bacterium. RNAcentral's name for it is "bacterial SSU rRNA". It matches the Rfam family "Bacterial small subunit ribosomal RNA", at positions 87 to 859 of the family's 1533-position model. The record is from RNAcentral.
GGUGGCGAGUGGCGAACGGGUGAGUAAUAUAUCGGAACGUGCCCAGUCGUGGGGGAUAACGCAGCGAAAGCUGUGCUAAUACCGCAUACGAUCUCUGGAUGAAAGCGGGGGACUCGCAAGGGCCUCGCGCGAUUGGAGCGGCCGAUAUCAGAUUAGCUAGUUGGUGGGGUAAAGGCCCACCAAGGCGACGAUCUGUAGCUGGUCUGAGAGGACGACCAGCCACACUGGAACUGAGACACGGUCCAGACUCCUACGGGAGGCAGCAGUGGGGAAUUUUGGACAAUGGGCGCAAGCCUGAUCCAGCAAUGCCGCGUGCAGGAUGAAGGCCUUCGGGUUGUAAACUGCUUUUGUACGGAACGAAACGGUCUGCCUUAAUACGGUGGGCUAAUGACGGUACCGUAAGAAUAAGCACCGGCUAACUACGUGCCAGCAGCCGCGGUAAUACGUAGGGUGCGAGCGUUAAUCGGAAUUACUGGGCGUAAAGCGUGCGCAGGCGGUUAUAUAAGACAGAUGUGAAAUCCCCGGGCUCAACCUGGGACCUGCAUUUGUGACUGUAUAGCUAGAGUACGGUAGAGGGGGAUGGAAUUCCGCGUGUAGCAGUGAAAUGCGUAGAUAUGCGGAGGAACACCGAUGGCGAAGGCAAUCCCCUGGACCUGUACUGACGCUCAUGCACGAAAGCGUGGGGAGCAAACAGGAUUAGAUACCCUGGUAGUCCACGCCCUAAACGAUGUCAACUGGUUGUUGGGUCUUCACUGACUCAGUAACGAAGCUAACGCG